GUCUUGGUAUUAAAUGAAAAGGCUUAGUUACAGAUCGUUUGGACUCAAUAUUUCGAGUUAAAAUCUUGCGGCAACUGUUUCUCACGUAACACUGCAAACUAUAUUUAGCGCUAUUUUGAUCUGUCGUUAUUUAAUGACGCCAUAAUACAUGUGAUGUCACAAUGUUUCCGUUAAGACCUCAUGUGGAUUUCUCACUGAUAAAAGGUUUUCACUG
This 214-nucleotide long non-coding RNA is filed under the name Mytilus galloprovincialis (Mediterranean mussel). Lineage: Eukaryota; Metazoa; Mollusca; Bivalvia; Mytilida; Mytilidae. The record is from RNAcentral.